UCACAAGGGAGGUGGUUCUGAGCCAGUGGGAGGAUGAAACAACCUUAAGAAGAAAUUAAAGGAGAGAAAAGACUGUUCCAUGACAACACCAAGGUAUCCAAACAGAAAUAAGUCUGAUGGGUGGAAUACUUUCCUUACAAGCUAUGAUAUUUGCAGGGUCUCAUUCCAGGGCCAAAAGGUCACUAAGAGGGAAAAUGAUAAGCAGGUUUAUAAAACUUCAGAUAGGUUUCUCUUUCGAAUACUAGAAUCCAGUGUCAUCCAAUGAAAGUCAGUGGUGGUAUAUUCUAGGGCUGCAUCCAGGUGCCCUGCUCUGACUCAUGGUUCCAGGUUGUAAAUCCAGAUCCAGAUUAUCAUCCAGAUCAUGAUCCAAAAAAUACAAUUCUUGAAAAAACUCAUUUACUAGCAUAUCAAGGGCUGCUAGAUCAGAUGGCUUUGAAACGGGAUUAGACAACAGCACUCUUUUUUCUUGAAGCCACAGCAUCAGAUGUCAGGCUGCGUCUUGGCAAAAAACACACAAAAUGGCACACCUGGAGAACCUGGAUAACAGCUUCCCUCUGCUUCUUUUUCAGGACCAACAGAUGAUCUCCAAAGUCUUGUUAGAUUCAAGUGGAUUUAUAUGCGUCCAACUGAGACCGGAUCUAGUACUCCAUCUUUUCUGAUGACCAGGAGGUAGUUGUAUAAUUAAAUGAAUAUAUCUUCCAUUAAGGGUGGGGAAGAUGUGGCCCUGUGAUGGAGGAAGUUGGCACCCAGGAACAUCUGAAGACCUCAUAGGUCCCACACUAUCUAUUAAAUGGUGAACAUCUUACUGGAGUCCUGUAAACUAGAUGUCCAGGAGUUAAGGGAGAGGAAUAGGAUGCAAAAUGAGAAUGUACUAUAUUACCUAAAACAAUUUUUAAAAAUGCCUUGGAAUCCAUAUGGAACAUCUUUUUUGGUUUAAAACUGAGAUUGAUCCAGCAAAAGAAAAUGAAAGACAUUUCAGUUAUAUUGGACUCAACAACAUCUUUAUGUUGGAUUGUCUAAUACUACUACUACUACUACUAUUACUACUACUACUACUACUACUACUACUAAUUUUUUAUUUAUACCCUGCCCUCCCCGGCCAGAUCUGGCCUCAGGGCAGCUAACACCAGUAAAAUUACAAUAAAAUGCAGCCUCAUUUUAAUAGUAGCCCUUAGAUCAAAACCAUAAGGUGAGGGAAACAAAAGGGUCAGACUGAGUCCAAACCAUAGGCCACGUGGAACAGCUCUGUCUUGCAGGCCCUGUGGAAAGAUCUCAAAUCCCGCAGGGCCCUAGUCUCUUGUGGCAGAGCAUUCCAACAAGUCGGGGCCAGUACUGCAGCCCCGUGUAGAGCGAGUUACAAUAAUCAAGCCUGGAGGUGAUUGUCGCAUGGAUCACUGUGGCCAGAUCAGGGCGAGAAAGGUAAGGGACCAACUGCUUAAUACGGCAGAGAUGGAAAAAUGCCACCUUUGCUGUGGCUGCAACCUGCGCCUCCAUGGAAAGGGAGGCAUUGAAGGUUACACCCAAGCUUUUGACAGAAGGCACUAGCACUAACUGAGCCCUUGCAAAAGAUGGGAGUUGGCUCCCCAACCCCAUGUCGUCCCAACCCAGCCAGAGGACCUCUGUCUUGAAAGGAUUUAACUUCAACCGGCUCCCACGCAGCCAUCCAGCCGCAGCUUCCAAGCAUCUGGUCAGUGUGUCCAGGGCCGAGUCAGGGCAGCCAUCCAUCAAAAGAUAAAGCUGAGUGUUAUCAGCAUAUUGAUGACAACCGAACCCAAUGCUCCGGACAAUCUAGGCAAGGGGGCACAUAAAGAUGUUGAAAAGCAUUGGUGAAAGGAUUGUGCCCUGUGGGACUCCACACACCAAAGAGUGCCAUGGCAACAACACCCUCCCUAGCGCCACCCUCUGUACCCGACCUGAGAUAAAAUAAUGUAGCCAUUGUUGGACUGUGCCCUGAAUCCCCACGUCGGCAAGGCGGUGGUUCAAAAGUUCAUGAUCAACCAUGUUGAAGGCUGCUGACAGAUCUAAGAGAAUCAGCAGUCCCGACCCGACUGACCAUCGCCGCUCUAUACCUAACGUGCUCAUAGUCUUAAUCUCCAUUUGUUGUUGUCUCAUUCUAGCUUGUUGUUUCACAGACAAGACUGAGAGGAUGGGGAAGCCAGCACCCGCAAAGGCUGCAGCGCCUGCAAAGGCUGCAGCUCCAGGAGGAGCAGAAGAACCAGGAACUGGUGGUCUGUAUACAGCAUAGUCAUAUGGGAUGAGGUGUCUCUUAAAGCAGAGGAAUGCACGGGAAAGGGAAGUUGAUGGGGAGACAGGUAGAAAGUGGAACCAGACAUGUUGUACCAGGGAAGAAUCCAGGGAAAAGCCCACGCAGCUCUUUGGGUGCCAGAGAUCCACUAAGCCCCAUAGAAACCCCAGGAUUCAGCCCACUCUUUCCUGCUGGCUGUUGUGUUCCUUUACUGUGUGCAGUCCAGAAUGGCUCUACCAUUAGGCAGAAUGAGGCAGUUGCCUCAGGUAGCAGGUGCUGGGGUGGGUAGAGAUGUGUAGACCACACAAGCUGCACUGCACCUCCUCAGUUAGCCUGCUGCCGCAGCAGCAGCAUUGAGAUAAGAGCCAAUGGCCAGCCCAGCUCAGCUUGUGUAUGUGGAAUUAUGUGUACGGAGGGAGUAUCUUGUACAGGGGUGCUGGGUAUAGGAAGUGCAAGGGGCUUCAGCCAUGUAAAUGUGUUGAGGCCAGGGUCUCAAGCCCUGCAAUAUUGAGGGGCUAACAUCCCCAACCAUCACUGGGCACCCUAUGUGUGCCCCCACCCCUGCCUGGGAGACGAGGAGCCAGGAGGGGGCUGGGACAAGCGAGGGGAUCUUCACCUUCUCUCCCCAAAACUCCCCGGCAGUCCAGGAGUCGAGAGGGGCCUGGGACAAGUGAGGAUGAUCUUUGCCUUCAUUCCUCCCAGCCUCUGCCUGGUAUCCUGGCAGCCGGAGGGGGGCUGGGACGAGCGAGGGCGAAGAUCGCCUUCUUUGCUCUGCCUCCUCCUCCCUGCCCUAUGCCACACUUAUACAAUUUUCCACAUUUACAAAAAGAAAACAGCCAAAUACAUUUAUUCUUCAACUUCCUUUUCCCCCUUCCAGGGUUCCUUCUAAUUAUUAUCCUCCUGCUACUGCAUAUUCUAAUUACUCCAAAUAAAUUAUACGAUAUACAAUAGACAAUAUCUUUAUUCUCAUUGUCCCAUGCAGAACAAUGAAAUUGAAAAACUACAUAAAGCUACUACAAAACUACAUAGAACUACAUAAAAACUACAUAAAACUACAUAAAUACUACACAAAACAUUCAAAAACCUCUAAAAACUCUGAAACCCCAUUUUAAAAUACACUAUACUAUAGAGACCCCUUAUGUUACUCCAUUUAAGUAUAACUUACUCCAUAUAAAUUAUUUCUCACUUUCUCCCAACUUAAUUAUAUGCUGCUGAAUUUACUUUAAUUCUGCUAGCAUUUUUAUUUCUUAGUUAUCAGAAAAGUUUCCUCCAGCACUUCCUGCUGGAUAUGGAUAAUGGAGGAUGACAGAGACUGCUUGCUCUGAGCAGCCUGAUUGCUGUGAGGAUCGAAGAAUGGGGCUCAGGCAAAGCACCUUCUCAAAAAGAGCCUGAAGGAGAAGUUCAGGUUCUGAAGGGUCCAGUGGUGUCAAAAUAUGCUCUCUAGAUUCUCCCAAAGCUCCAUAGGGAGCUGAAAAGAUCCCAGAUUGAGCUCAGACACAUGGCACAAUUGAAGACCCGCAGAAAGCUGCCUCUUGUGCCUCCAUUGAAGCAGUGACAUCUCCAAACAAAGGAAUUUGGACCAAUUUGACAAGGCAAGAAAAAGAAUUUAAGGUAGUGUCAAUAAAACCAUUGGUCAGACUAGGUGGCAGAGAGCCCCCAGAUGCCGGUGUUGAUCUGCAUGGAAAAAAUAUGCAGGGACUGAAUUAAGAAUGAGAAUGAGAAGAAGUACAGUCUAGUGAUUAUUUUUACAAGCAUUCCAGGCGAAGAAUUUUGAUUAACUUGUGAUUUCUCUAAAGCUCUGGAUGCAGAAUUUUGGUGACUUUAUAAAUAUCUUCCAGCAAGCGGGUCAAAUCACAAAGAUCUUUAAAUGUUUUGGAAUGGAAGAGAGGAAAGUGGGACUUUGUGUUUUCCUUUCUUUUCCCUUUUUCCCUUUUAAAAAUACAUAUUUUAUAUAUAUAUAUUUUUCUUUGCCUCCUUUUGAUAACCCAAAGGAGAUGGACAUUGUGAGACUGAAUUUCAUCUGAAUUACUUUGUGGAUUGCUGAUUUUUUAAUUAUUAUUAUUUUUUUGGUAAUGCAUAAACUAAGGGUUAAUUUUUAUUUUUAUUCACUCUGUGCAUUUUUUCAAUUUUUUAUUGGGAUCUGAUGGGGUUAGAUACUAACUGGUGACAAAGGGUGGAAAUAUAGUGAUAUAGUGACACAGUGCAGCCCAAAAACUAAUUGCAGGGUCUUUUUUAUUUCCUUUUUAAGUAUUUCCCUAUAAUAAAGGAAAGAUCACCAUCUAGUGACAUUAUGAUAUGGCUAUGGCUAAAGUCGGCAAGAAACCACCUCCAGGCCCAUCACAACACCAAGUCAGAGAAAAGGUUUAAUUGUAGAAGGAGACACAAAUUUGACAUUAGAAUUUCAAUAGAAAUGAGAAAAGAGAUGGGGGAGGGUAUACAGAGACUAGGACAGAAGGCUGAUUUUAAUGCGCAGGCAGUCCAAAACUUAUCAGCAGAAAUUGCAGAACUGUCACAUAAAACUUCAGAAAUAGAGAAAACAGUACAGGAUUUAAAGGUGAAAACAUCCAGCUUGGAGGAAUCAUUUAAGAAAGUAGAAGGGGAGGUAAGAGAAACAAAGAGGAGCAAGAAAGAAUGAGGGGGGAUGCUGAAGCAAUCAAAUUGCUUUAUGAACAGACUCUGGAUGAGAUCACAGUUUUGGAAGUACAUCUAAAAGUUUUGAUUCUUAGUUUGAGAUUUGCCAGAAGAUACGGCAGUGGAAUUAAGUGAAAAAAUAAUGAAAGAACUUGAGAAUUUGAUUGAAAUGGGUGAAGAAACUGUUAAAGUGGCAGUGGAUAGAUCUUUUCAUGUAAAAUCAAGAUAUGCUAAAGCAAAAAGUCUGUCGGGUGAUUGUUUUAAAAAUUCAAAGAGAUUUAAAGACAGAAUAAUACAGAAGCACUAUCAGAAAAAUCUCAGGAUGAUGACCAGAGAAUAAUAAUUUUGAAAGAAAUCCUGAUGGGACUACUUCGGAAAGGAGCAAAUUACAAAUAUCUGAUGGACACACCGUGUUAAAACAAAAUCGCUUUUCAUUGGGGAAUACCCUGAUGGAGUCUCCUUUAUAUUUAAAGGGUGAAAGUAGAGAUGUAGAGAUCCCACAGAAGCAGAUAAAUUCUGGAGAAAAUAUGGAAAACAAUUAGCAGGAGAAAGAGCAUUUGGUUUGGAGCCACAACAUGAAGAAGAAUCAACAGAGGGGGAGAAGAGAGAUAAAUGAAUAAAGGACAAAAUGGCAUUGGUAAUCCUAAUGUGGAAUGUAAAUGGACUCAAUAAUAAAACAAAAAGGGCAGAGAUUGAACAUGUGGUAAAGAUAAAUAAUUUUGAACGUGAUUUGCUCUCAGGAAAUGCAUAUUGCGAUGAAACACAGAAGAAUUCUGAUCAAUAAAAGAUUAUUGAAAGGACUUGGGGGAUCUGGGCGGGAUUCUUGGCAGGCCUGGCAGUGUUUGACCCAGGCCUCUAUCUCUCCGUCGAUCCCCGGCCACCACACAUAACUCCUGGCCAGGGCCUUCAUUCUUACUACCCCUGGGUGUGUCUCGUGUAGGGCUGUGAGGACCCUUUUGCGGAGGGGCUGGGGAACAACGACCCUGCUUCCCCAUAACAGGCACCCCUUGUGGGCCGACAGUUCAUGUUUGCGGGUUGUGUAGCCGGCGAAUUCUGGCCCGGGGCUGCUGCUGGGCCAUCCCCUCCACACCCAGUCCAGGACCCGGGAGAUGACCCUAUCUUUCUUGGAAUGGUGUGCAACUUCUUGUGCCUGAAUGGGGCAGUCGGGAAGCAGCUCCAGGCUCAUAACCUCUUGUGCAGGUGCUGGGUUGGGGCCUGUUUCCGGUAGUGGUAGCCUGCUGAGGGCGUCUGCAUGGCCCAUCGCCUUCCCCAGGCGGUGAAUCAGUGCAUACUGGUAGCUGGCAAGGAAAAUUGACCACCUGAGGACGCGAGGAGACAGCACUUGGGGGGUCUGCUUUUUGGGGGCAAACAAGCCAAGCAACGGCUUGUGGUCAGUCACCACGGUGAAGGGCCGCCCGUACAAGAAAUCAUGGAAUGUUUUUACUCCCUUCACGAUUGCCAGACCCCCCUUGUCUAUUUGCAAGUAGUUCCGCUCGGUUGCGUUGAGUGUCUGGGAAAAGUAUGCCACCGGUACCUCUCUUCCAUCUGGGAGUUGUUGUCCCAGGACAGCACUAAUGCCAUAGGGUGAGGUGUCGCAUGCUAGCACCACCGGCAGCCUCUCAUCGAAGUGUGCCAAGACCGAGUUUGAGACAAGCAAGUCCUUGACUGCCUGGAAUGCGGCCUCCUGGCGCUGGCCCCACACCCAAGGGGCCCGCUUGUCCAGGAGUCUGUGUAGGGGCUCCGCUACCGCCGCCUUGUGGGGAAGGAAGGAAUGGUAAAGUUCAAUAGUCCCAAGAAGGCCUGAAGUUCAGUCUUGCUCUUGGGCGCUGGGGCAUCACAAAUGGCCCGUACCUUGUCCCCAGUCGGGUGGACCCCUUCUGCGUCCACCAUAAAUCCCAGAAAGUCCACCUGAGGCACUCCUAGUAGACAUUUUUCCCGCUUCACCUUGAGACCCGCCGUCUGGAAACGGUGCAGAAUGGUGCAGAGGCGGUCCUCAAACUCCUCUGGUGUGGGCCCGGCAAUCAACACAUCAUUGAAGAAGGGGGUGACGCCAGGAAUCCCUUUAAGGAGCGAGUCCAUUAGAUUCUGGAAUAUGCCUGGUGCCACACUGACACCGAAUUGCAGCCGCUUUACCCUGAACGCUCCUCUGUGCGUCACAAUUGUCUGUGCCUCUGCUGUGGCCUCAUCUACUGGCAGCUGUUGAUAUGCUUGGGCCAAGUCCAGCUUGCCAAAAUUUUCGACCCAGCCAGGGUGGCAAGGACAUGGCUGACCACUGGCACUGGGUAUGCAUGGGCCGUGAGGGCCUUGUUUAUGGUACAUUUGUAGUCUGCGCAGAUGCGGACCAAACCAUUAGGCUUGACGGGUGUGACGAUUGGGGUUACCCAGGGGGCAUUAGGCACUGGCUCCAGCACUCUUUGCUCCACGAGCCAGUCCAAUUCCUCAUCUAUACGGAGUUUCAGGGCGAACGGGACCCGGCGGGCCUUGAACCUGACCGGUCAUACUGCGGGGUCAAGCUGUAGAGCAAUGGGGGGGCGUAUACUGUCACAAUUUCCCAUCGAAAACCCCUGGAAAUUCCUUGCAUACAGUGUCCACGUCCACUUGUAAGCUAGUGUGGUUCACCCCGGUGAUGGCUAGCCCCAGUGGUCCAAACCAUGCCAAUCCCAGUAAGCUAAUGUAGGGGCCCUUGACCACAAGCAAGUCCAGUUGCCGUGUCCGCCCUCGGUAUUGCACCCUGAAGGUCCCCACCCCCAUUGUGGGGACCUUACGUUUCUGGAAGUCCCAGAGGGUGAAUGGGGCCGGCCUGAGUUUGGGACCCCAGUAGGACACAGUUUCCUUAAGGUCCUUGCCGAGAUUAUGGAUAGAGUUGAACCCGUGUCAAGCUCCAUGCGGCAUGGGGCCCCCUCUAUCUGUACCUCUACAUAAAUUUUCUCUAUGUUGGGGUGGAGCAAAUGGUAUACCUGGAAGUCCGUGAGCUCCGUCGAGUUGCCUUGGUGCGUUGGGCCUCGGGACCUGGGGCUCUUGGUCAUCUGAUGCCUGGCGUCGGGUGGGCCAAGCUCGACACACCCGGGCGAUGUGUCCUGGUUUUCUGCACUGCCUGCACUCUGCGUUGCGGAAACGGCAGGUCCUCCUCUCGUGACUUUCCCUGCAGCUUGCGCAGUUCCCUCCUUCUCGUCGAGGCAGCUGUGGUAUGUGGGCUGCUUGAGUGCGCUGCUGUACUCGGUGCACCUCCUCCCUGUCAGAUCCUGAGUCGUCGGUGAGGUCUUCGUGGUGGACCCUCGGUUGGGAUGGCAGGCUCGGCCAUGCCUCUUGCGUCGACCUCUCGGCAGCUUCUGUUGCCAGGGUCUCCUCCAGAGCAACCUGGAACGUUAGGUCCUUCUUAGCGUAGAGGCGUCAUUGCAGCUUCUCAUCCUUCAGGCCACCGAUGAGGCGGUCCCGAAGCAUGUUCUCCAGCUCUGAGAAGUUGCAGAACCGGGCGGCUUGGCGGAGAGAGGUCACAAACCCAGUUAUGGUUUCCCCAGGGGCUUGCCGCUUUGCGUAGAAGGCAUUUUGACGAGCCACCACUGAGGGCUGCGGCGAAAAGUGCCCCUUCAGCUGUUCCAUUAUUGUUUUGUAUGGAACAGUAGCGACGUCAUCAGGCGCAAGGAGAGCCCGGGUGAUUUCAAACGUCUCCUCUCCGCAGACGCUGAAGAAUAUCGCCCUCUUCUUGGUGUCUUCUUCAUCGGUGACCCCUUUGGCUUCUAGGAGGAAGGUGAAACGGGAGGCGUACGCUUCCCAGUCUCCAGAUGCUGGGUUGAACGGCGAGAAGCUGCUGUUGGUUGCCAUUCUGAGUUCCUUGUGUCCCGGAGCUGAAGCCUGGAUACACGGUGCGAGGCAGCGGUGCGGCAGGUGGCGGUGUUGCGGUGCUGUGUGUGGCAGUCAGCUCAGCGGGAUCCCACCUUCGUCACCAGUGAAAUAUACUCAGAGUCGCAAAGUGAUUUCAUGCUCUUUAUUCAGCUCAUAGUGGUGAGGAGGAAUGAGUGAAUGUCCCCUCAAAGUAUCUGCUUUAUAUACAUUAUUUACACAAUGAGACAUUACAAUACUAACAAUAUGCAUAAAUGGCAAAAGUUACGGGAAGAAUAAGAAAUUGAGAUAACAAACUUUUUAUAAAGGAAUGGAAAUGGUUUAUUGAAUAUUUACAGAUAAGUUGAAAACAGCUGAAAACAUUAGGAUUAUGAUAAUAACGUGCAGUUUCAUAAGAAUAUAUACAGGUAUUUAAAGUAGAUAAUUAAAUGAGCAAGUUAAAUAAAUUGGGAUAUGCAGAAGAUAUUAAAAAAUAAAUUUAAGGAACCACAGAUAGAGGAGAAAGGAAGUCAAACUUUGAAAUGUUAAAAUGAUUGUAAAACUAAUGAAAUCUAUAAACUUGAAAAGUAUAGAUUAAAACUUUUAAAAAAGAAAAAAGAUGGAAAAGUUUCGUCACGCAGCAAGGCAUCCUGCCUUGCUUCCUCCAUCUCCUUAGCUUCCCAAGGACCCACCCCUGAACCACUGAGUGUCUCUGGCUAAUGGCUACCACAGUGUAUGAAAAUCCUUUUUUCUGGGGUGGCAAUGAUAUGUUGGCUACUGAUGGCUAAAGCAGAAUUGUCUUUCUUCAAGAAUCUGGUUUUCAGAAGUUUGUAACCUUCAUGAAAUCUCCCACGGGUGAAUACAUUGUCAUAUUUCUGAUGAUCCUCUUUACUACGUUGACACUGCUGCUUUUCCUGCUAUGUAAGUACAUAAUUGGCGUACUUUGCUACUACUGUGUUGGGCUUUGCUUGAAUGCCAAUAGCAUUUCCAAAAAGAGAUGGUAGGAUCCAGUUUACAUUUACCCCAUUUGCCCGCUCUCUUUGAUAUCAGGGAGGGACUUACAGCUGUCACCCACUGAAAGCAAUGACACUGUCUUGUUCUCCCUGAAUAAGUGAGUUCCAGCAUUUGGAACAGAAGCACAGGCUUACACAAGUCCCUGGAACACCCUGGACAAUUCCCUUUCCCAGUUGCCAUUCUCUGCUCCUUUCCCAACUAAUCCUCAUUUGCUGGGGGAGAGCCCCCAUUCCUGAUCCUCGCCACCCUGCCCUCUGCUAGGGCUCCAGUCCCCUGAAGGAAAGUGCUUGGGGAAAACAGGCUGCAGAGGAUAAGGCCAUGGCCAAAGAGGGUGGGACCAGAGCCUACCUAAAUAUUGAAAUAUAUGCAGGGCUUUUUUUCAGCUGGAAUUCAUCAGGACUCAGUUCUGGCCCCUCUCAGGUGGGCGCCAUUGCCAUUUUAAGAGAAGAAGGGAGGCAUUCAUGCUGAGUUCCAGCACCUCUUUUUGUAGAAAAAUAGCACUGGAUAGAUGAGCCCUUGACCUAUUUGCACACCUAAUUCAUUUUCAAAGGGCACUCAAAAGUAAGCAAAUCUCGAGUGGAAGGAAUCAAAUGUUCCAAGAAUUUGCAUAUUUAAAGCAUGUGGCAGAGCAUGAGGCAGCCUGGCAAAUGCAAGACUGUAGGACAAAGAGGACAGAUGUAUCUAGACAACCAAAAAGCUAAAGCUCUCAAAGGAAGGCCAAACCAUCUGAUGACAGAAGUAACAGGCCAAAUUGAAACAGCGGCUGCCCUGCUGGUCUGAAGUCCUACCAAGAGCAGGAAAUAUUAAUAGAAGUCAUAUUCAUGGUUUUGUUGAUUUGAUUUCUUAUCUGCGUUACAAGUCAUCAAUUUAAAUUCAAUAUUAAAAGCAGUUUGAAACCAAGUAUCCCCUCCCCCAGGUAGUCAGACAUUUUAAUCAUUUCUUUUCUACCUACCUCCUCCUUAGAUCAAAAGGAAGUAAAAAAAAGAGAUGAGUUUCAAAUGGCAAUGGAUAUGAUUCGGACCUUUGUUGUUGGGCUUGAUACAAUCCAUGAAGACAAGGAUGGUAAGCAUUUUUUUAUCACAGUUUCAUUGCUCAGCAGGAAGAAAAGCAGAUGGUUGUGAUUCUCACAUCCCCCCACUAGAAAGGCUGUCCUUCCCCAUCAAAUUGUAAUUCACAAUGUUUGUGCUACUGCAAGAUUUUAGCACUAGCACAAGGGAACUUUGCCCCCACUUCUCCCUGCAUGCCAUCACCAAAGCUGCUCUGCAGGGUGGGGGAAACUUCAGAACAGAUUGGAGGGAAAGGGGCUGAAGAUUGCAUUGCACAAGGAGACAUUUCUGCACUGACAUAAUGUCCUCCUUAGAAUUAUGUGGAAUGCAACCCAGUAUUCAUCAGAAAAAGAGUUUUGGCGCCUUCAUUUUCUUAGAUCUCACAAAGCAUAACAGAAAACUGCAAAGUAUUCUUUGUAUAUUUGGCUUUACUGUGGGACUCGAGGUGGGAAUUGUUUUAUGACCCAGUGAUUCCCAGCAGAAAAGGAGGACAUAGGAGAGGAACAUUAGAGAUACUUCAUGAGGCAGUUAUAAUAUGAGAAUAGGAUAGUGGAUUGCAUGGGUCUUUGGUCUGAUCCAGCUGCAGGAUUCUUCUGAGGCUUUUCAUUGGUGAUUUCAGCCACAUAGAAUCAAGUCUGUCCUCAUAUUCAUAAGAACCUGAUCCUUGAGCUCUGCUUCUUGUUUCAGGCUAGAGUGUUUGAAUAGUUUGAAAAUGGUUUCUUAAUAUUUGCAGAUUGUUAUUUCAGAUACUCUUUUGCCUUGAACUAUUUCAAAUCUUUUAGACUUCGGAAUACUUGCUGUAGCACAAAACAAAUCAGAGGAAAUGCGGUAUCUUGCCAACAAAAAUGAUGAACUACAAAAAGUAAUUGGUAAGCUACCCUAUGAUGCUGAAGACUUGUAGCGCAUUGGGAACCUGCCCUGAUUCUGCCCCAGCUGAAAGCCCCUCCUCUAGCUGAAUACUCUUAGAGCCAGAGCAGAGUGCUGCCCUCCUUUGAAUCCAGCCACCCUAGGGAAACAUCAGAGAUAUUCAGUUCAGCUCUCCUGAACUUUUGAAUUGACUUAGCCUCUAUGGUUAGGAAAGAAAAGAUUUUGCCAUUCUUUGCUAUAACAGAGACAAUCAAAACAGGUCAGCUGAAAGACCUGUCCUUUAUUAUUUUCACUCAUGAGAGCCCCGCCUCUGCAGAGACAAUUAAAAGAGGUCAGCUGAAAGAGAGAGAUUCAUGAGCAGCACUUAGAAGGCAACUUCCGCCAACUUGGUCAGAGAGACUGCUGGGCAGUGGGGUGUUUGGUGCAACAGUAAAAUCUCUCUCCUGUUUCACAAGCCCAUCAUCAGAAAGUGUAAAGUGAUUAUAAAAUUGUCUAUAAAGCUUUAGAUGUGAAAGCAAAGAAUGGGAAUGAAUGCAUAUUACAUCACUUGUACAUAAAAAGCAAGCUAAAGAUGUUCAGCAAAACCAGGUCUAAAUCCUGAUUGACAUGGAUCUAGAAAAGUAGUUUUCUCCAAGAGCAUCUGGAUCUGGUCCACAACCACCCUCUCAAGAACCUUGCCCAGGAAGGGGAGAUUAGCAACCGGCAGGCAGUUACUUAGAUUUUCUGAGCACAGGGAAGAUUUCUUAAGGCCUGCCUUCAAGGAGGCUGGGACCAGCCCCUCUUGUAAAGAGGCAUUAAUCACCUUUCUAGUCCAGCCAGCUGUCCCUUCCCUACUAGUUUGUAUCAGCCACAAAGGGCAGGGUCCAGUGUGCAAGUGGUUGUCCUGACCAAUCCAAGGACCUUGUCCACAUUCUUGAACCUUGUUGGAUAACUGCCCGGGUCCGGCACGUUUCCCUGAGCCAGAAAUCCCGGCCGGCAGCAGAGCAGCAGCGUGUGCUUGAUGUGUGAGUGAAGAGAGAGUCAUAGAAUCAUAGAAUCAUAGAGUUGGAAGAGACCACAAGGGCCAUCGAGUCCAACCCCCUGCCAAGCAGGAAACACCAUCAGAGCACUCCUGACAUAUGGUUGUCAAGCCUCUGCUUAAAGACCUCCAAAGAAGGAGACUCCACCACACUCCUUGGCAGCAAAUUCCAAUGUCAGAACAGCUCUUACUGUCAGGAAGUUCUUCCUAAUGUUUAGGUGGAAUCUUCUUUCUUGUAGUUUGGAUCCAUUGCUCUGUGUCCGCUUCUCUGGAGCAGCAGAAAACAACCUUUCUCCCUCCUCUAUAUGACAUCCUUUUAUAUAUUUGAACAUGGCUAUCAUAUCACCCCUUAACCUCCUCUUCUCCAGGCUAAACAUGCCCAGCUCCCUUAGCCGUUCCUCAUAAGGCAUCGUUUCCAGGCCUUUGACCAUUUUGGUUGCCCUCCUCUGGACCCGUUCCAGUUUGUCAGUGUCCUUCUUGAACUGUGGUGCCCAGAACUGGACACAGUACUCCAGGUGAGGUCUGACCAGAGCAGAAUACAGUGGCACUAUGACUUCCCUUGAUCUAGAUGCUAUACUCCUAUUGAUGCAGCCCAGGAUUGCAUUGGCUUUUUUAGCUGCCGCGUCACACUGUUGGCUCAUGUCAAGUUUGUGGUCAACCAAGACUCCUAGAUCCUUUUCACAUGUACUGCUCUCAAGCCAGGUGUCCCCAACAUGUAUUUGUGCCUCUCAUUUUUUUUGCCCAAGUGCAAUACUUUACAUUUCUCCCUGUUAAAAUUCAUCUUGUUUGUUUUGGCCCAGUUCUCUAAUCUGUCAAGGUCGUUUUGAAGUGUGAUCCUGUUUGUGCCUAAUCUAAACAGCUUCAUUUACACAGACAGAUAAAACAAACAAUCCCGUCAGAGACUGGAGCCAUAGCAUUUAUCUCUGACUCUUCUCUGGUGAGAAGUGAAAGUAACUUCACAGGCAAAGAACUCAGCUCCUGGAUGUAGGAAGCUCCUCCCCAGAUGCAGGACACAUAGAGGUUAACCCUAUAACUACCAAACCUCACAAACCUUACUGACUGAAACAUGCCCAACACAAUGGAAACAGACUCUGCUCUGGACAUUCUUUGAGAUUUGUCUGCUGUAAUAGCAGGGUGGGUCAAGAUGCCAGGGGAUGCAAGCAAAUGCUUUGAAAGCAAGUCACAGAAAGCUGCUUUCAGUUCUAUCAUCUCCUUUGGGCCAGACUGUGGCAGGCCCCACACUACCUGGGAAGGAAAGCUCUGCUGGAUAGCACAAUGGAGGAAGCAAAGCAAGGCUUCUUUGUAUCCUUCACUGCCACUUGGAAGGUUCGAGGAUGAACCCUCACCAGUAGUUGAAUCCAUUCAAUCAGAUUUUUCCUCCACUUGCAUUCAAGCCAUCUCCCAACUUCUUUUUUCGCCCUCUCCUCUGCAGUAUACUAGGGGGAAAACAGGCUGUAUGAAGUGGGAGAGGGUACUCAGGGCCAAUUGUGUCCAUGGCCCAAGCCAAGGCAGGGGGUCUUCUGGGUAGUUGUGCCCACCUUGUGGCACUCCCUCCCCCCAGAUGUCAAGGGGAAAAAACUACUAUCUGACUCUCAGAAGACAUAUGAAGGCAGCCCUGUUCAGGGACGUUUUAAAUAGUUGAUUGUGUUUUAAUUUUUUGGAAGUAGCCCAGAGUGGUUGGGGGGAAACCCAGUCAGAUGGGCAGCAUAUACUUUGUUGUUGUUGUUGUUGUUAUUUGGUUGUUCCAGAGAUCAGCCAAAACUCAGCAGAAGCACCUGUCAGAUCAGCUGGAAAAUCCCCCAGAGCCAUUUGGAAGCCCACUGGAUUUGGAAGCCCACUAGAUUCAUCCUGUCAGCUCCAGCAGGGAGAAUGCUUGGCAGCAAACUGGGUGGUAAACCAGCAGAAUCCCUCAUCUGUCCCAGUUGCCCAAUGCCAGGAACCUACAUUCUAGAUUCCCCUCCCCCCUCCACAACUUAACAGAGGGCCUGGAAAGAGAAAGAGAAUUUUGAUAAACCACAACUACUCCCCCUUCCCAACCUUCAAGUCUGCCCUGAUUCUGCCCUGAGUAUCCAGGUGGAAACAAGUAGGUGAGGUUCUUGACUGUGCUCCCUGUUCCACCUAUGCCCACCCAGGUAUUUACUGCACCAUCAACAUGGGUUGAAGAGUUAAUGUUUUUCUUGUUUUAAGAUUUCUGAGCUUCCCAGAUGAAUAUAUGUUAUCACGUGGAGACGGAAAUGAACUUAAUAAAAAUAAUUGAAAUCUGCACAGACAUACAAGGUGGUUCCCAUUAAAUUCCCUAUCUUGUUUUCUUUUUCUGAUCUUCCUGCAUAUCUGGCUUGACUCAAAGACGACCUUACUGACGACUUGCAAGAGGGUUGGUUUAUAUAUCAAAGGACAAUGUAUUUCCUUUCUCGUGACCAAGACUCAUGGGCAGAUUCCAAAAAAAAAUGUGAGAGAGAAGGUGCCCAGCUCAUGUCUGUGGAAACAAGGGAAGAACAGGUGAGCAUCAAAGCUAAGUAUAGGAAAGGUAGGGGCCAAAGGGUAGGAGCCAAAGGGCUCCUAUCAUCACUAUCUAUUUAGGAAGGUUACAUGUACCUGUAUGCAGCCAAGACAGCAAUUCCAUCAGUCAAGCCAAGGGGUGGGAGGGGCAGGGAGAGCUGCUACCAUCUGGGACUCAAUAAGGUUUCUUGGAGCUCCUGAGCUCUAAUAGAAUGAAGCUGGCAGUCAGGAAGGAGAUCUUCAAGGAGGAAGAGGAGUAGAUACUUCAGAGGCAUCUAUCACUUGGAUUCUCUGUAAAUUCUUCCUCUGUUCUUUGCGAUGUAUUCAGUUGGUGGGGGGGGGAGGCUACCCUCACCAUGCUAACCUUCUGGCAGGAGAGUAUCAUGGAGAUGACUCUAGAGGAGCUUGCAAGGUAUAUCCUUUUCCCAGCGCUUUAGCUCUGGCACAGGGGCUACUGGGCUGCUGCAGGGCACAGACAUGGGUGAGAUCCCAUCAUCAUGCCAUCAAGCAUACCACAACCGGACUGAUUCCAGUGUCUCUGGAACCAACCAUCAAACAUGGAUGCAGAAAUUGGAGUAUUUGACACACAGGUCACUGUCCUGCUAGGUGGUUCCAUGACCAACUGUUCUCUGGCACAGUCAUUUACAGUAUCUGGAAAUUAUAACUCUGUGUCAUGACUGGACAUAUGUAGUCAGUCUCGGUGAGGGCAGGUGAAGUUCCCCUUCACUACAAUAUUUCCUCUUUGGGAUGCUUCCUUGAUUCCAUCACCAUCAUCUUCGUCAUUCAUGAUCAUCACCAUCAGCAUCAUAAUUUUGAUCAGGGGGACAAUACCACAUCCAGUAUAUGAAAUUAUUAUUGGAGAUGGGAAUACAAUGUAUAGUUUUGAUCACUUUUCCGCCAAAAAUUGGAUUGGGUCUUCAAAUGUGAUACCUUCUCCUUUUAAAAUGUGUUUGUUUUAUGCCUGUUGAAUUUCUGUAAAGGGCUAUAGUCUCCCAGAGAAAGGGACAUUGUCUUAAAAGAUUUUAUUUGUUCUUUCUCAACACCCCUACCCUAGUUUUUUAUAAACGAGCAAGUACAAAAGCGUAAGAAGUUUUUUUGGUUUGGAGUCUUUAAAGACAAGGCAAAGAAAUGGAGAUGGCUGGCAGGAAUAGAGACUAUAGUCACGUAAGUUUCUGCAGAAACAUUUGUUAAUGGCAUGCAUUCCAAAAAGUUGCAGAUUCUGUUUACAUAAUUCAUUCUUUCCCUUUCCAAAUAUAUUUUGUUAUGCAAUUUUCUCUACUACCAAAGACCUACAUAUGUACUCCUCCACAUCAUUGCCCAUUGCCCAGGAAGGCUACUCUUCCUGCUUCUCUAACCUAAUGAAUGUGGUGAUUCGGGAGAGGCUGAAGGCAGGCUUUUAAAUGGUUUGUGCUCCUUAGUUCAGCUUCAAAAGGACUUGCAGGAACCUAAAGCUGAGCAACACUGUCAGCUGGCAGUUUAAGACACUUCAUGGUUCCCUUUAAGUAUCUAACAACUCUUUUCAGCUUGUGUGGAUGGAUGUACAAGGUCAGAGUAAGAUCUCACUCAUCCACAGCUUGGUAGUAGAACAGAGAACUGGACUGGCAUUUAUUACCAAGACUGCAUUAACAGAGGGCUGCUUUCAUUUUUGCAAGGUCUCCUGGAACAAAAUCCAAUGACAUUCAUCUCUAUUGAUGCACCCAAUACCAACCACGAAUCCUUUUUGACAAAGGUAUUGAGUAAACUUUACAAACAGGCAGUGGGGUUGUAUAAUACUAGCUGGGAAAUUAAACCCUGUAUGCCAGUGGUUCACAGUUAGCUAAGUACUGCAGACCCCUUCGUUUUCAAAAGCCACGCCAUGGGCCACCGUACCUUUGAACAUUUUGAUAUCUCUGUGGCAGUUUUAGUUAUGUGAAUGACACCAUGGAACCCCUGGGUGGGUGGUCCAUGGACCACCAAUUGGGAGCCACUACUGUAUGUGAUCUUAGACUUGAUCACCCAAACAUCUCGUGGGAGUAAAAAACACCUACUAUUACUAGUAAUAUAAAUUUAAUAGAUUUACAGAGAGCUAAAAAUGAGGAAGUUAUCACAGAAUGAGUUUAUCACAAAAUUUUAGUGCUGUGUAGUGGGACUUGAUUCAGGAUACAAUGGACACUGGAGAAUGCAAGUGACAAUAAGAGUGAGGCUACGGUGAUACCUUUGUCAAUUAUGGAUAAUUGAUUAAACUUAGAAUCAGCAUGUAAGAUUUAGAUAAGAUAUAUAUGUGAGAGAUAUCAUAUCAUUUCGGACAACUGUAUAAUGGCUUUGUGGUUAUAGAUUAUAUUUUGUAUUCCAUUUGUAGACAUAGCUAUGUUUGUUUCUGUAUAGUGUCAUUGCUAUCCUCAUGCAUGUGGUGGGUGAUGGAUGUCAGAUGAGGUGGAUGAAGGCGGAUGCAAAUCUAACAUGGUUUUAAUAUGCUCAGAACAAUCACUACUGUGCUAACUCUGCUACUUGAGAGUAAGGAUCUCUCAUCACUCACAAGGGUCCAGAGCAGAUCUGAGGAGGAUGUGGGUGCAUAUGGAAAGGAGAGAGGGCCAGUUCUGUUGCAGAAAUGGAAAUCCUGGCAAUAGCAGAAGUACUGCAUUGGAUACUGCCCAAACUAAACUGACUGACAGUUCUUGUGUGUACCACUGAGCCUUCCAAAGUGACACCCUCACUUUUUGUAGUUUCCUAUGAGAAAAGAAAAGAGACAAUCUUGACCCACAGUUGUUGUUGUUGUUGUUUUCCUUACACGGUUAGAAUUCUAAAAUCUGGGGAGAAAUAUCCAUCCCAAUUGUGGGUGGAUGUUAAGAGAGAAAGAGCUGGACAUCUUUUUAAUGGUAGAAGGCAUGGGGAGCACAUGAGGAAGUAGACAUCCAAUCUUGAUUGCUCAGUGCUGCUCUUUUCUUUUCAGGUACUGGAAAAAAGAUGAGCCUAAAAACGAAGACAGAAACCAUUGUGCUGCAGUAGGCCUUGAUUGCGAAAAGGAUUGCUGGAUUGCAUUACACUGUGAGCAACGCAUAGGGUACAUUUGUAAAAAGGUGCCAGAUGAUGCUUGGCUCUAAGAAGACACUUUAAGAUGAACGAAACUGGAUCUCAUGAUCACUACACAAAAACAAAAACAAGAGAUCACCCCACCUCACUGUUUUAAUGCACAAUCCACACUGUCAUUUAGAUUAUGGGUCUGUCUGGCAUCAGCCCUCAAAAACACCUUGAAAAGACCUUAUUCUGCAAGCUCAAACGUAGAUGGCUACGAAAAUAAAGAAUGGAAGGGUCCAAGCAUA
Non-coding RNA from Podarcis lilfordi (Lilford's wall lizard), 18438 nucleotides. Lineage: Eukaryota; Metazoa; Chordata; Lepidosauria; Squamata; Lacertidae. The record is from the annotation of a GenBank genome assembly.